Streptomyces turgidiscabies Car8 is the source of this 136-nucleotide regulatory RNA element. It matches the Rfam family "FMN riboswitch aptamer (RFN element)". From Rfam's summary of the family: The RFN element is a highly conserved domain that is found frequently in the 5'-untranslated regions of prokaryotic mRNAs that encode for flavin mononucleotide (FMN) biosynthesis and transport proteins. This element is a metabolite-dependent riboswitch that directly binds FMN in the absence of proteins. Lineage: Bacteria; Bacillati; Actinomycetota; Actinomycetes; Kitasatosporales; Streptomycetaceae. The record is from Rfam.
CAGCGCACUCCGGGGUCGGUGAAAGUCCGAACCGGCGGUUACAGUCCGCGACCCGUCCGUAUUUUUUUCUGCGGCCGGUUGACCAGGUGGAAUUCCUGGACCGACGGUUAAAGUCCGGAUGGGAGGCAGUGCGCGG